CGGGCCUACGGGGGGCAGCAGUGGGGGAUAUUGCACAAUGGGGGGAACCCUGAUGCAGCAAUGCCGCGUGAAGGAUGAAGGUUUUCGGAUUGUAAAACCCUGUUGUUAGAGAAGAAAGUGCGUGAGAGUAACUGUUCACGUUUCGACGGUAUCUAACCAGAAAGCCACGGCUAACUACGUGCCAGCAGCCGCGGUAAUACGUAGGUGGCAAGCGUUAUCCGGAUUUAUUGGGCGUAAAGGGAACGCAGGCGGUCUUUUAAGUCUGAUGUGAAAGCCUUCGGCUUAACCGGAGUAGGGCAUUGGAA
RNAcentral lists this ribosomal RNA (305 nucleotides) under uncultured bacterium. RNAcentral describes it as "bacterial SSU rRNA". It matches the Rfam family "Bacterial small subunit ribosomal RNA", at positions 332 to 631 of the family's 1533-position model. The record is from RNAcentral.